This 73-nucleotide transfer RNA is filed under the name Microchaete diplosiphon NIES-3275. RNAcentral describes it as "Fremyella diplosiphon NIES-3275 tRNA-Leu". It matches the Rfam family "tRNA". From Rfam's summary of the family: Transfer RNA (tRNA) molecules are approximately 80 nucleotides in length. Their secondary structure includes four short double-helical elements and three loops (D, anti-codon, and T loops). The record is from RNAcentral. Lineage: Bacteria; Bacillati; Cyanobacteriota; Cyanophyceae; Nostocales; Rivulariaceae.
UGCGGAAUAGAGCAGUGGUAGCUCGUUGGAAUUAGUAUCCAAAGAUCAGUGGUUCAAAUCCACUUUCUGCCCC